CAGUCGCCGCGGUAAUGCGUAGGUGGCAAGCGUUGUCCGGAAUUAUUGGGCGUAAAGGGCUCGCAGGCGGUUUCUUAAGUCUGAUGUGAAAGCCCCCGGCUCAACCGGGGAGGGUCAUUGGAAACUGGGAAACUUGAGUGCAGAAGAGGAGAGUGGAAUUCCACGUGUAGCGGUGAAAUGCGUAGAGAUGUGGAGGAACACCAGUGGCGAAGGCGACACUCUGGUCUGUAACUGACGCUGAGGAGCGAAAGCGUGGGGAGCGAACAGGAUUAGAUACCCGUGUAGUCCCUGUCUCUUAUAC
RNAcentral lists this ribosomal RNA (301 nucleotides) under uncultured bacterium. RNAcentral's name for it is "partial 16S ribosomal RNA". It matches the Rfam family "Bacterial small subunit ribosomal RNA", at positions 509 to 807 of the family's 1533-position model. The record is from RNAcentral.